Molecule: long non-coding RNA, 1711 nt
Organism: Neomonachus schauinslandi (Hawaiian monk seal)
Lineage: Eukaryota; Metazoa; Chordata; Mammalia; Carnivora; Phocidae
Exons: 4
Source: RefSeq, a predicted model, not a curated record
AUUAUUUUAGCAUUCUUAAGAUUUUUGUACAUGUGUAAGUUAAAUGGUAAAACAUUGUUAUCUGUAUAUUGCUACAUGACAAUCUGAAAUGAAUAUAUGAAUUGCUGAAUAGAAAGUUGUCUGGAAGAUCAUACAGCAAAACUUUAACAUUACUGUGUAGAGAGUUGGGAAUGGAAGGACUGCAUCUGCUUUCUGCAUUGAAAUUUUAAAGAUAUUUCAAAAGGAACAUUAAAACAACAAAAGGGAAUUUUAAAGAUACAACCAAGUUGUGCAUCUCUGUAUUCUUGCCUGUUGACGUCUUGGGAGUAUUGGGCUGUUAUAUCCAAUUUUGUAUUCCCAGUGGCCAUUCUGAAUAGUUUGUCAGUGAUCACGAAGAACGUGUGGUUAAGAGACUCUAGUACAGCAGAGAGUUAUACACACUGAAACAGUACUGAGGGAUCCAAGAAAAGAGUAUGGGAGAAGAUGGGAUUUGAGAUGUACAUGAUGAAAAGAAGAGAUUUAUAGAUAACCUGAGGACAGCUGACAUCAGGAACAUUCCUCAUGCUAUGGACUUCCUUAAUUUAAAAGUCUUAUCUGGGAACCACAGGAGAUGAUAGUUCCAUGGAAACACACUUCUGCCUUCUUUGUAAUUGCAAGAAUUGGUAUCACCAGACCUCUCAUUGACAGUAUUAUUUAUUCAAGUGUUCUUCACCUCCGAUAUCUGGUCCCAGGAAUACCCCUUGGCGAAAUUAUUGUAAGAACAGGUGAUGACUUAACAGAAAACUGAUGCUAUUGCUUCUGUCACCAUCUUCAAAUCCAAAAGACAGUCUUCAUAGUGUAUGGAGACUUCUCUUUCAUGUGUUGGAGUGGCUAUUCCUCACAGAUCAGAAAAACUGGACUGAGAAAGCUCAAGUUUGAAAGUUACCUAAAGAGUGUCAUUGGAGGGAAUUGUAACCAGGCAUGUUGACUGUUUUCAUUAUUGACACUGGACUAAAUCUCAGGAGAUUGAAUGCGGGAGAUGUUAUUACACAGAAAUGUUAUUACACAGGAUGCUGUGAUUGCAAGGCUUCAUUUCAGUGUUCCCAUAAGUAUAAAGUGCAUAUAUUUAUAAUUUUCAUUUACUACAGGGUAAAUUUAAAAUUGAUUGAUAAAAAAAUUACCUUUUUCCAUAUUUCAAAAGGCACAGAAAUUUGUGAAGGAUAGUAUUUUUUACUUAAAUGCUUUUUUCCCCUCCUAAUUCUACUUCCCAACAUUAUCUACUGUUAAUGGAGUUUUGUGCGUAUCUUUUUGGGGUAUGUUGAUGAACAAAUGGUUAUGCUAGUAGUCCUUUGGACACAUACAUUAGCUACAAAUUUUCUAAGCAGUUACAUGCUUUAUAUAGAAAUAAUUUUUAAUUUCUCUGGCUAAUUUGUUGAAAACAGUCUUAGUAUUUCCACCUUAUUGGAAUUAAGUAUAUCCAAAAUUUAUAUUCUGAGUCAACAGUGGAAAUUUUCCCCAAAUGGUAUAGAUUGUCCUCAUCAAUCUUGAAACCCACUGUUUGUUUAUGAGACUUCUGUUUUCUUGAACAGUAGAAAUAUUACAUUUCAAUGUUUUAAUCUUUGAAAAUGUGGUAUUACAAAAAAUUGCUUUCCUUCCCUUACUGUUCAGUUCAGUCAUCUUCAUAUGUCCUUAAACCUUACUAGUCACUUAUUUCAUUUUCCUCUGUGGGUUUUAAUUUUUUUUUUUCAUUUCC